UGACAUGUAUCCAAAAUAUUAAUGUGGGCCUAAUAUGGAUUAUGGAGUCGUGAAUGAGUUGGUCCUAUUAAAAAAAUAUUAAUUAAAUAGGUCGAGUUUGCAUGUAGAAUUCUUCUUACUUUAAUUUGAAAUUAUCUAUUUCAUUAGUUAAGUUGAAUUACUUAAAAACCUUAAAAGUUGAAAGAACAUUUAUGUAACAAGAACACAUUAAUUUCCUAAGAAACUUAUAUCCAAGUUUGUAGAUAACCAUGUACUAAUCAACUUGGCUCCUAAUCUCCCCUAUCUCCUCCAAUAAAUUGAUUCUUACCUAUUCUAUUUUUUUCCUAACAAUAACUUUCUUUCCAAUCAUUUACUUCGCGAUUACGAUUUCACUUCUACUAGUAGCACCUGGAGGAACAACAAGAAAUAAGAGAAUCUUCUCAUUAUUGAUCCUUAUCUUGCUCAAAUUCCUUGACAUAGGCCGGUAAUCAUGAAGUUUUAGGAUUCAGCUGCAUGGGGUUAACAUAGAUGCAUGUAAGCAAAUGAUUUCCCUAGUUUUGUUUGUGAAAGUAAUAGGUUAAAGAUUCGGCCC
RNAcentral lists this long non-coding RNA (571 nucleotides) under Elaeis guineensis (African oil palm). RNAcentral describes it as "long non-coding RNA (EGUI_LNC009727)". The record is from RNAcentral. Lineage: Eukaryota; Viridiplantae; Streptophyta; Magnoliopsida; Arecales; Arecaceae.